AGUGAACGCUGGCGGUAGGCCUAACACAUGCAAGUCGAACGGCAGCACAGUAAGAGCUUGCUCUUACGGGUGGCGAGUGGCGGACGGGUGAGGAAUACAUCGGAAUCUACUUUUUCGUGGGGGAUAACGUAGGGAAACUUACGCUAAUACCGCAUACGACCUACGGGUGAAAGCAGGGGAUCUUCGGACCUUGCGCGAUUGAAUGAGCCGAUGUCGGAUUAGCUAGUUGGCGGGGUAAAGGCCCACCAAGGCGACGAUCCGUAGCUGGUCUGAGAGGAGGGUCAGCCACACGGGAACUGAGACACGGUCCAGACUCCUACGGGAGGCAGCAGUGGGGAAUAUUGGACAAUGGGCGCAAGCCUGAUCCAGCCAUACCGCGUGGGUGAAGAAAGCCUUCGGGUUGUAAAGCCCUUUUGUUGGGAAAGAAAAGCAGCAGGUUAAUACCCCGCUGUUCUGACGGUACCCAAAGAAUAAGCACCGGCUAACUUCGUG
This 492-nucleotide ribosomal RNA is filed under the name uncultured bacterium. RNAcentral's name for it is "partial 16S ribosomal RNA". It matches the Rfam family "Bacterial small subunit ribosomal RNA", at positions 29 to 507 of the family's 1533-position model. The record is from RNAcentral.